This 1366-nucleotide long non-coding RNA is filed under the name Ursus maritimus (polar bear). RNAcentral's name for it is "lncRNA (ENSUMAG00000024541.1)". The record is from RNAcentral. Lineage: Eukaryota; Metazoa; Chordata; Mammalia; Carnivora; Ursidae.
GCUCGAUCCCAGAACACCGGGAUCACGCCCUGAGCCGAAGGCAGACGCUUAACGACUGAGCCACCCAGGCGCCCCUAAAGAUUUUAUUUUUUAAGUAAUCUCUACACCCAGAUGGGACUCGAACUCACAACCCCGAGAUCAAGAGUCACAUGCUCCCCCAACUGAGUCAGCCAGGUGUCCCUUGUCUGUACUUCUGUGGUUGACCAUCUCUAAGUAAAUACGUGCUUUCUACUUGAACUAACCUAAUACGUUUCUCGACACAGGAUUUUCAAAGCCUCAGGAGCAUCAGUUUGCAAAUCCCCAGCAGUCUCACAGGGGAGAAGCAAUAGGGAAACGUGCAACGCAACAGCUACAGCAUGAGAUCAGCAAUAAUGAUGCACCCUGGCAGCUCCCAACCCCCAAUUAUGUCAUGCUGUACCUGACCGCUGACCCAAGAACAGAAGUGCUGGCGCUGAACGACCUUCCUCCCCUGGGCUUCCUUCCAUCCCAGGCUGCCUGGCUUCUGCUGCCCAAACAAGGUCUCCAGCUUCAGCUCUUCUCCCGGCCUUUCCUAAACAUGCGUGCCCUGGCCCACCUUCCCAGGACUCUGUGUCAGGCGACAGCCAGCCACUGUGCACACCAUGUUAACAGCGUGGACUUGAACUCUUCGCCCUGCUCGCCUGCCUGCCUCUCCAUCACCUCACUCAUGUAGAUGACGAGUCUGCGUGGGACCCAAUAUUGUCAAAGAAAGUCUGGAAUACCAGGCACACAGACCAACUUCAGGAUACCGAAAAUACCCUUGACCAUGUCUGAGCGAGGCGAAGUUCCCCUGAGUGAGGGACUGAAUAUACCAAAAGGUAACGGGGCCUGCGAAGGCCUCCUGGCACUCGCGUGCGCAGUCCCCUGGCAGACAAGACAGCGGACUGGCGGCGGUUUGUAAGUUGGGCUUUGUUUGAUAUGUGAGAGUAAAAACCGGGGAAUGUGGCCCACUUGCACUUUUGAAAUCCCUCCCUUCAUUAUAUUUGAAUUUCAUGUCUUUAUGCUUUGUUUCAAACUAAAUAUCAAAAGUCUCUCGUUUCUGUUAUCUCCCUGACAGUUCUUCAAUAUACUGUAUUUAAAACUCUCCGAGGACAAAAAAAAAUGCACUUUUCAAGUGAUGCUAGGAGCUUGCCACCCCCCGUCUGUCUUCAUUUCUGAAUCUCUGGGAUGCUUCAUAAAACAAAGGAGAAUGUACCAAAAGGUGCUUCUGUGCUAUUUUAAAUACGUACAGAGGUCUCCUCUGUCUUACAGAGAAAACAGUACAGACCCAGAUGUUUCGCAAGUCAUAUAAUUCAUACCUAAUGCUGACGGACCACUAACUGUAUCUACACAGACUCUAUCACACAUG